UGCACCAUAUACACCAUUUUUUUAUGUGUACUUUAGCCGCUCCCUUCGUUGACCCAACAAACACUUGCUAAGAUCCCACACCAACAUUCCAAACAAUUUGCCAAAACUGGGAAGCAUGCCAUUUUAUUACAGGAAAGAAUAGGUACAAAAUGAGUAAUUUUAUCAGAAAAAUGAGCAUUUGUAACAAAAUUACAAAAUCACCCCGGGGUAAUCAAAAGAAGUAAAAGCUGGUCCUUCCCCACUUUCUAUAAAUGCUCUCUAUACAAGAAGAAAUAAACCUUCAUCCCUACUCCCAAUUACAAAAACAGAAAGAAGUAAAAAGUUGUACUAACAAUCAACAACAAAAGAAGAAGAAAAUUAAUCUAGAGAAGAAAAAAAACUAGAGUAUCUACCUGGGGCAUUCAAAAUCCCCAGCUUCCGAAAAGCAGGACGAUCUCAGCAUA
Molecule: long non-coding RNA, 443 nt
Filed under: Actinidia chinensis (golden kiwifruit)
Lineage: Eukaryota; Viridiplantae; Streptophyta; Magnoliopsida; Ericales; Actinidiaceae
Description: long non-coding RNA (ACHI_LNC009071)
Source: RNAcentral